AUUGAACGCUGGCGGCAGGCCUAACACAUGCAAGUCGAACGAGUGGCGGACGGGUGAGUAAUGUCUGGGAACCUGCCCGAUGGAGGGGGAUAACUACUGGAAACGGUAGCUAAUACCGCAUACCAUCGGAUGUGCCCAGAUGGGAUUAGCUAGUUGGUGGGGUAAUGGCGCACCUAGGCGACGAUCCCUAGCUGGUCUGAGAGGAUGACCAGCCACACUGGAACUGAGACACGGUCCAGACUCCUACGGGAGGCAGCAGUGGGGAAUAUGGCACAAUGGGGGCAAGCCUGAUGCAGCCAUGCCGCGUGUAGGAAGAAGGCCUUCGGGUUGUAAAGUACUUGCAGCGGGGAGGCGUUACCCGCAGAAGAAGCACCGGCUAACUCCGUGCCAGCAGCCGCGGUAAUUC
Molecule: ribosomal RNA, 406 nt
Filed under: uncultured bacterium
Lineage: Bacteria
Description: partial 16S ribosomal RNA
Rfam family: Bacterial small subunit ribosomal RNA
Source: RNAcentral